RNAcentral lists this long non-coding RNA (215 nucleotides) under Vigna radiata. Its description in RNAcentral is "long non-coding RNA (VRAD_LNC000802)". The record is from RNAcentral. Lineage: Eukaryota; Viridiplantae; Streptophyta; Magnoliopsida; Fabales; Fabaceae.
AAACUUGUAAAAAGGUUAAGACAUAUUAUAACGUAGUUUUGUAUAUUAGUUAUAAUAUAAAAUGCGGUGUCAAACUUGUAAAUAAGUGCAAAGAUAUUAUAACGUAGUUUUAGAAACCAGAUAUAAUAUCUCUUCCUAUCUAAUUUUUCACAUUUCUCUCUCAUCUCUAAUCUCAUCACAUUUCGUCACCGUCUCGUUCUUGUUCCAAACCCUUG